This 490-nucleotide long non-coding RNA is filed under the name Nicotiana benthamiana. RNAcentral's name for it is "long non-coding RNA (NBEN_LNC039527)". The record is from RNAcentral. Lineage: Eukaryota; Viridiplantae; Streptophyta; Magnoliopsida; Solanales; Solanaceae.
UCGAAUGAAAAUCAUGAAUACAUCAAUGCCUCAAUUGCUCCAGGGGCCCAUGGGACAUCAGCUGGUCUCGCCACGGGCCUAUGCAUAAGAUCCCCUUGAAGACGCUCCAAGUCACUCAUUAUUUGGCGGACAAAGGUCAAUACAGCAACAAAGAAGGUGGUUCUAGUCAUGUUUUCAUAUUUGUGGCACUUCAUAACGAUGUACUCAGCAAUGGAUUGAACCCCCUCCUUUAUGGUACCUUUUUCUUGGAGCAAAUGCUCUAUUUGCUGAGUCCGAGCCCUUAAAACUUGUUCAGCCGUAUGGUUUUGCUGUUGAAGCUGUUAUAUGUCUUUUUCUAGCUGCGACAUCAGGGCAUAACAAUGUUCUCUUUCUGGUUGAAAUCUUUUGCCUGCUUAAUCAUUUUGUUCUCGAGGACGGCGGUCUUUAUCUUCAACCCAACGACUUUAUUUUCAUAUUUCUCUUUUAACUGUUUAACCAAGCGCGCUCGUUC